This 253-nucleotide ribosomal RNA is filed under the name uncultured bacterium. Its description in RNAcentral is "partial 16S ribosomal RNA". It matches the Rfam family "Bacterial small subunit ribosomal RNA", at positions 524 to 776 of the family's 1533-position model. The record is from RNAcentral.
UACGGAGGGUGCAGGCGUUAUCCGGAUUCACUGGGUUUAAAGGGUGCGUAGGAGGGCAGGUAAGUCAGUGGUGAAAUCUCCAAGCUUAACUUGGAAACUGCCGUUGAUACUAUCUGUCUUGAAUACCGUGGAGAUGAGCGGAAUAUGUCAUGUAGCGGUGAAAUGCUUAGAUAUGACAUAGAACACCAAUUGCGAAGGCAGCUCGUUCCACGAAUAUUGACUCUGAGGCACGAAAGCGUGGGGAUCAAACAGG